GGAGGGUGACUGCUGACCAUGAAGAGUUCGUGCAGGGUGGAUAAAAUGGGUUGGUCCAUAGAUUCUUCCCCUAUUUGUUAUAAAAUCUAGUUGUCGUGGAAAAUCUUCUUAAACUAGACUUUCUUUCCUUUUUUCUUGAGAAUUACUACAAUGUCAUUGUUGGAAUAUAUGGGCUUGGCCCAAAUAUUUACUCAAUUAAAAGAAUUAAAAGUCCACUAAUAAAUGCUAGAGAGUUAAGUGCUUAGUUCCACAUGGAAAUUUGAGGAGGAUCUUUCCUGACUUAAAUGGUGGACUUUGAGUACACCUAUUGCAAAGUCAAUAAAAGAGAUUGGCGUGCCACGCGCGCGCUCGCUCGCCGCGCCAGGGCGUGGGCGUAACGGCUAAGGAAUAAACUUGAGAAUAUUCCAACGGUUACUGGUGUUGACAGCAAAACUUGGUUUGAUUGCCUGGUUUGAUAGCCUUGAUUACUGGGCAAAUUGAUUUCGUUUGAUGACUGUGCUGACUACCAUAUCACGUCUAGGUUCAUCCCCCCUGUCUCACCGCUCAGCUAUAUAAUUCUCCCUUUCCCCUCCUGCAGACUCGCACCAAGUACUGCUUUCAGGAGACUUCUCUCUUCUCCCUCUGUCUUUCUGCUACGCUCUUGUAUUCCCAUCGCUAGCACUGCACGCGCACGUUCUGGCGAGAGCAGAGCCUCCAGAACCUCGCCUUCUGCCAGAGAUCCUGCUCGGGAUAGGCAGGCGAUAAGGUUUUUUGGGAGCGUUGAACGCGACUGCUCACUCCCUUCCUGAUCAACUAUGUCCUGAUGCCCGAGAAGCUGAUCGACUACGACGACUACUUCCUGGUGGCCGAGACGCUGAUCAACUACGAUGACUACUUCCUGGUGGCCGAGACAUUGAUCGACUACUUCCUCUUCUUCCUGGAGGCCGUUCGAGGGACUGCACUGCAACGACCUCUUCCUGCAUCAUUAUUGUAUGACUACAUCAACUGAGGCCAUCCCACGACUAGUAUGACUAGUCCAGAUGGUAACGGCGCAUCCGGUGCCUCCGGCACUGGCCCCGUCCCAGGGUACAUUCUAAAUCAUCUAUGCCUAUUUUUGUUCCUGUUUAUUAGUUGUUUAAACUUGAACACUGGCACAUUUUACAUUUUAUCUUAUCACUGAAUCACUCAACAUAUUCAUAAUAAUAUUUUACAUGUUUAAUUUUGGAAUUAAAAUAUACCGAAAUAUGCCUAAAUUUCUAAAAUCCAAAAACCUUAUAUUGUUGAUAGGCUUUCGGUAUCUAGUUUUGCUACGUCUAUAAAAUUGAAUGUAUUUGAUGGUUCCAAUUAUAAGCGUUGGUGUGAGAGGCUUACGUUGUGGUUGACAGCCAUGAACGUUAUGCAUGUCGUAGUUGGAAAGCCCGAGGGCAAACGUCAGAGGAUCCAAGUGCCUUUGAUCGUGCUGAUAGCUUUUUCCAUGGCGCCAUCAUAAGCGUUCUAGCUGAAAAUCUUAUUGACACGUACCUCACACUGCCAACUGGUAAAGAGAUGUGGGAAACUCUUGAGGCUCAGUUUGGAGUUUCUGAUGCUGGCAGUGAGUUGUAUCUCAUGGAGGAGUUCCUUGACUACAAGAUGGUUGAAGACCGUCCCGUAGUAGAACAAGCCCAUGAAAUUCACGCGCUAUCAAAAGAUUUCAAAGACUGUAACAAAGAGAUUCCUUGUGUGUUGCUCGACAAGUUUGUGGCCGGAGCUAUUAUCUCUAAGCUGCCACUUUCUUGGAGGGAUUUUGCUACUUCCCUGAAACACAAGAGAAAAGAGUUCAGUAUCUCUGAUCUCAUUGGGACUCUUGAUGUUGAAGAGAAGGCGAGAGCAAAAGACACACGAGUAAAAGGAAUUGUUGGAGCUUCAAGUGCCAACUUUGUUCAGAAGAACAAUUCCAAUUCCCAAAAGAAGAGAAAAAAGCCACUGCAAAACCAAGGAAAGACUAAACAAACAAUUGCACCGGUUAAGAAGAAGAAGAAGGGAUUCUGCUUUGUGUGCGAGAGUCCGGACCACUUUGCUUAACAGUGUUCAAAUCACAAAGGCAGGAAGUCUGCCAACAUGGUUAUAAGCGAGGCUAGAGGAACAUCGGGGUACGGUAAUUUAUUACCUACAGUUCUUUUAGUAUGCUACUCACCCGAGUGGUGGAUUAACACCGGGGCUAAUAUCCCCAUGUGUGUGCUGAUAUCUCUUUAUUUUCCUCUUACCAGAUCGAAGGGACUGGCUCCUUGUUAAUGGGAAACGGAUCACAUGCGCGUGUUCUUCGUGGUGGUACGGUCAAUCUGAAGCUUACUUCGAGAAAGACCGUGCAAUUGAAGAACGUGCAACAUGUCCCCACUAUCAAGAAGAGUCUAGUCAGCGGAUCUCUACUGUGUAAGGAUGGUUAUAAGUUAGUCUUUGAGUCCAAUAAAUGUAUUAUGUCUAAGUUUGGUACUUUUACUGGAAAAUGUUAUGAUAGUGAAGGCUUGUUCCGAUUUUCUUUGUCUGAUGAUUGUAAUAAAGUUGUGAACAACGUUGUUAAUGUUGAUGAAUCAAAUGUUUGGCAUUUGAGGCUUUGUCACAUUAAUUUUGGUUGUAUGACGCGCUUAUCUAAUUUGAGUUUAAUUCCAAAAUUUACCUCCGUCAAAAAUUCUAAGUUUCAUGUUUGUGUUGAAUCAAAACAAACUCGCAAGCCUCACAAGGCUGCAGAGUCGAGAAACUCGGCACCUUUAGAAUUAAUUUAUUCCAAUCUGUGCGAAAUAAAUGGUGUGUUGAUAAAAGGUGGUAAAAAAUAUUUCAUGACUUUGAUAGAUGACUGCACUAGAUUUUGUUACAUUUAUUUGUUGAAGUCAAAAGAUGAUGCAUUGCAUUACUUUAAAAUCUAUAAAGCUGAAGUAGAAAACUAACUAGAGAGAAAGAUCAAAAAAAUUAGGUCGGAUCGUGGUGGCGAGUACUUCUCAAAUGUUUUCACUUCAUUCUGCGAGGAACAUGGUAUUAUUCAUGAGAGGAUGCCUCCCUAUUCACCUCAGUCAAAUGGGGUUGCCGAAAGGAAGAACCUCACUCUAACUGAUUUGGUUAACGCCAUGUUAGAUACAACGGGACUUUCUAAGGAAUGGUGGGGUGAGGCUAUAUUGACUGCUUGUCAUGUCCUAAAUCGUGUUCCUACAAAGAAUAAAGAAAUAAUACCAUUCGAGGAAUGGGAGAAGAAGAGGCUAACACUUUCUUCCUUACGUACUUGGGGAUGUGUGGCGGAUCCACUACGGAUUAGCUUGCUUAAACAUGGUUAAGUCGCCUAACACGCGACUCUCAUGCCUAAGCCAAGUUAACACGAAAUGCCGUCGGAUUUCCUCCGAUUUAACCACUUGAACAGGACCGAGUUAGCAAACUCACACGAAGGUGAGCGGUUCCAGAGAAUACAACAAGUCCACCGAGUUAACCAACUUAACUAUUUAGUUCGGCCAUAAAACAAACAUUAGAGUUUUACAAGGUUCAAAAGAAAACAACAGAAGGCAAAAAUGAGCGGAAGCUACUUCGCCGGGGUCGGACAUCCUUGGUGAGGCCAGCCAAGACGUCAGUGAUCCCUCUCCUCGCCGUCCGAGGAGGGAUCCCACUCGACCGUGCAACCCGGAGGGAGCUGGGGCGGCCAAGUGCCAACAGAAGAAGGCUCGAGAGUAGCAACUUCACCUGAAAAAGAAAAGCCACAACAAGGCUGAGCUACUAAGCUCAACAAGGCUUAACCGACAGGAGUAAAGCUACUCCACCUCUUCUAGGCAUGCAAGGCUCUUUGGCUGAGGGGUUUGGUUGCCAAAAAGCACUAUGUAGAUCCCUGUUUUCAAGUUUUAGCUCAGAUUCUAGGUUCAUUAACCGGUCUAAAUGAGCACUUACUCUAAGCAAACAUAGAACCAUCCAAAAGGUAUCUAUAUAAUCAUCAAGACCAUGUCAUCAUCAGAUUUCUUUAUUACUCAGGGUAGCAUAGCGAUCAAGCAGUCUCAAACUGUGAGAGGCAGAUGAAUCGAUUCGAUUUCUUUAACCAUGCAUGGUGAAUCUAACCUCAUGACAUCCGCGCACCACCGAGGGUCGCUUCCUGCGUCGGCCUUCCCCAUCAAUCCCCUAACCCGUGUCGGGCCCAUUUCCUUUGGUGCAAUGUUCCACAGAUCCGGCCUCUGCCGUUCUGUGACCACACUUGCCACCACGUGCGGCCGCAAGGGAACUCCGUUCCAAGGACAAUGGGGCGACCGCUCACGUCUAGGUUCAAUCCGGUACUCGGCUUCCUCAUCCCAUAAUAAGUAUGAGGUUAGUACUUUCAAACACUUGAUCACGAACACCACCACUGUCGGGCCUUAACAAGUUUCAUAGACAGACGGGGCGAUCAGCCGACCACCAAAGAGUUAAACAAAACCCUGCCCCGUCCAUCGUCCUUAUAGUUGUAACAGAAAGGAAACAACCAACUCCUUACAACUCGCGAGUGACAGGAAAUCACUCGGCUUUUACCGUUUCCUAUUUAAGCAUGGCAACUACUCGGUCCAACAGCUAGUGUUCAGAUCAGGGAACUAAGUCAUGUUUCUACGGUUUCAAGAAACUCCUAUACGUAAAUGCACAAACAAGGAACAGAAGGCAUGCGCAAGUUUGGAAAAACUGGGUUCAUGCUCCGGGGCUUGCCUUCAAACGAGGAGGAAGGGAUGGGGUCUUCUGCGAAGGCGGCUUCGGCUUCUGGAAGCAGGAGCUCUGCUGUAACUUCGUCUUCUAGCGCCGGGUACAACUCGUAGAAGCCGUCGGCGAGACGCAGCUCUACACGAAUGCAAUGCAAGAGUUAGCAUUUAGACGGUUAUUUCAACAGCAACACUUGCAAGUUCUAGCUCCGAAACUUUGUAGCAUGGCUACGGAAAAAGGUGGGGAAGUUGGCUUGAGUUGGAGAAGAACAAGGUAAAAGGGUCGGAUGGAAAGAAGCUUAUGAUCUAACUCUUAGACUAGAGGAAUAGAUGUGUUGGGGGUCCUCAGACUUAACGCUGACAAGUCUCCACAUCUUUACACAUAUACCCUCGGGUCUAGGAAAAGGAUACAGCCGAGCCCUCGGGCGAGGCGGAGAAAGGGUCGGCGAAAUAGAUAGGGUCGGGCGAGAUGGAACAGGGGUCGGGUGGAUAGAAGGGGUCGGACGAGGCGGAAAAAGGGUCGGCAGCCUACCUUCGUCUUACAGGUGAAGCUUGGGGUCAGGAAGAAGCAGACUUGGGCGGAAGGAUUAAGGCUUUGGAUAGCGGCGAGGUCCGGCGGUGCUCCGGCGGCGGCGGUGCUUCUUGUGGACCACAAGCAAGCUCUUGCGCAGCACGGAGGAGCAAGCGAAUGGGUGGAUUGGGGAUGAUGGUGUGGAGCGGAGCGGAGAGUUCCUCCGGGACUUAGGUGGUAGCGCUGCGAGCACGAAGCAGAGAGCAAGACGGAAGGGCAGCGAUGGCGAAGGGACCUCCGGCGGAGCUCUGGCAUUGCCUUUUAUAGCUGCGCGGAAGAGUGAGAGGGUUGGAGCGGCGCGAAGACCGGGAAGAAGCGAUCGAGUGCUCUGCCGGGGCGGAGAUUGAGCAGCGGUGCAGCGGAGCAGGGCUUCGGGGAUGACACCGGCGGUCAUUGGGCACCAGAGAUGGGGCGGCGCAGGCGCGAUUUUGCCGGUGGUUGAGAUUUGGCGGAGGCGGGCGUCGUCGUGCGGUGGAUCUGAUGGAAGUGAUCGGGGGAACGGCGCUGGAAGCGAGGGCGCACAGGUGAGAAGACAGGCGGCUGCGGUCGCGCGGGCGAGCGCGGAGCAACAGAUUGUCGGGGGCGUAGCUCUGACAGGGCGGAAAAGGAGCUGUCGCGGCCGUGGUCUGGGUUGGCGGAGAAGGAAUCGUCGCGUAGCGCAGUCCGGGCGGCGCGACUGUGGAGGGGCGGCGGAAAAGGCGGGAGGCAUCGGGCUCCGCAGCCGGGGGUCCGGCGGGGUGAUGAUGGGCGCGGGCGGCGAGGUGCUGCAGAAAGGGUUGCAGAGGGCUUCUACUGCGAUUGGGGAAGGGGGCGCGGAUAUCCAUCUGGUCGCGGCCGGCGACGAGGCGGAGCGACGGGUGUCGGAGAAGUUGAGCCACGCGGCGGAGAAGCUCUGAGGCGGGCAUGCUACUGGAGUGCGUCUGCCGCGGGAGAUGUGGGAGAAAGAUUUUGUGGGUCCACCGGUCAGUCUCGAUUGGUCCACUUCUCAGAUUGAGAGAGAGAUGUUGCGGGAAGACUUAGAAGGAUCCUGCGGUUGAGUUGGGGUCGGCGGGGUCGGAACGGGGAGCCAGCGGAGAGGGGUCGGAUCUCAGGGGUCGGGACCGGACUGGAGGUUGAGCACUUCACUCGGGAAGCUGAGGUAGGGGGAUGGGAAACUCGGAUUAAGAUUAACUCAUGAGAAUUGGGGUCGGUCGUCACAGGAUGUUUGGUAAAAGUCAGUGUGCCAAUAACUAAGAAGCGUAAGCUUGGACCUAAAACUGUGGAUUAUGUGUUUCUGGGUUAUGCUAUUCACAACAUUGGUUAUAGAUUUUUAGUAGUAAAAUCUGAAGUACCUGACUUGCAUGUUGGUACUAUCAUGGAGUUUAAAGAUGCUACAUUUUUUGAGAAUAUUUUUCCAAUGAGAGAUGAAAUAAGUGAAUCUAGGCAAGAGUUUAUCGAGAAGGAUAUCUCUACCAAUGUGAUAGAACACAAUGAACCUACACUUGUUGAAAAUUCUGAGGAGGAUAACAAUGAAGCUCCCAGAAAGAACAAGAGACGAAGGAUUGAAAAGUCUUUCGGUGAUGAUUUCAUUGUAUACCUCCUGGAUGACACUCCUAGAACCAUUGAAGAGGCAUAUUCAUCCCCUGAUGCUGACUAUUGGAAGGAAGCAGUAAGGAGUGAAAUGAAUUCUAUUAUGUCUAAUGGAACUUGGGAAGUCAUUGAACGUCCUUAUGGGUGCAAACCUGUAGGGUGCAAGUAGGUGUUCAAGAAGAAGCUUAGGCCUGAUGGUACUAUUGAAAAGUACAAGGCAAGGCUUGUGGCUAAGGGCUAUACUCAGAAAGAAGGAGUAGACUUCUUUGGCACUUAUUCACUUGUUGCUAAUUGACCACAAUUCGAGUGUUACUUUCCCUAGCAACCUCUUAUGGUCUUCUCGUCCAUCAAAUGGAUGUUAAGACAGCUUUCGUAAAUGGAGAGUUGAAGGAGGAGAUCUAUGUGGAUUAGCUAGAAGGGUUUGUAGCAAAAAGUCAAGAAGGAAUAGUGUGUAAGUUGUUAAAAUCUUUGUAUGGUCUCAAGCAAGCUCCUAAGCAGUAGCUGGCUUUGUUGUGAACAAAGCUGACAAAUAUGUGUACUAUCACUUUGGUGGGGGUGAAGGAGUGAUACUGUGCUUAUAUGUCGAUGACAUAUUAUUUUUUGGGACAAGCCUUAAUGUGAUUAAGGAAGUGAAGGACUUUUUAUCUCAAAACUUUGAGAUGAAAGAUUUAGGAGAGGCUGAUGUUAUCCUUAAUAUAAAACUAGUAAGAGAAGGUGAUGGUGGGGUUACACUGUUGCAAUCCCAUUAUGUGGAAAAGGUUCUAAGUCGCUUUGGUUAUAGUGAUUGCAAACCUGUUUCAACAUCUUAUGAUGCUAGUGUAAUUCUAAGGAAAAAUAAAAGGAUAAUAAGAGAUCAGCUGAGAUACUCUUAAAUUAUUGGUUCAUUUAUGUACUUGGCUAGUGCUACGAGGCCUGACAUCUCGUUUGCUGUGACCAAACUAAGCCGGUUUGUUUCAAACCCAGGAGAUGAUCAUUGGAAUGCUCUGGAGAGAGUAAUGCGCUAUCUAAAAGAUAUUGUGAACUAUGGGAUUCACUAUGCUGGGCACUUAAGGGUACUUGAAGGUUAUAUUGUCUCAAAUUUGAUCUCUAUGCUGAUGAGAUAAAAGCCACAAGUGGAUAUGUAUUCACACUUGGAGGUGAUGCUGUUUCCUGGAAGUCUUGCAAGCAUACCAUCUUAACGAGGUCAACAAUGGAAGCAGAACUCCCAGCAUUAGACACCACCACUGUUGACGCUGAGUGGCUUCAUGAGCUCCUAAUGGACUUACCGAUAGUUGAAAAAAUGAUACCAGCAAUUCUAAUGAACUGUGACAACCAAACUAUGAUUGUCAAGGUGAACAGUCUUAAGGAUAACAUGAAGUCAUCAAGGCAUGUCAAGAGGCGGUUGAAAUCUGUCAGGAAAUUGAGAAACUCCGGAGUUAUAGCUUUGGACUAUGUUCAAACAGCUAAGAAUCUGACAGAUCAAUUUACAAAGGGUCUUUCACAAAAUGUGAUAGACAAUAUAGUUAUGGAAUUGGGCUUGAGACCCACGUGAGUUACUCUAUAGUGGUAACCUGUUCUAUGUGAUCGGAGAUCCCAUGAAGUAGGAUGGUGAAACAAGCUAUAGUUUAACUGAGAGAAGAGAACCUUUGAAUAGACUCAUUCCAGUGAAAAUGCAUUUCUCUUCAAUAUUGUAUGGCAGGUUGGUUUAUACCUUAAUGCAUUCCAAGUAGCCUCUUUGAAACAAGGGAGUUGUUUCUUUGAAGCAAAGAUGUUGUCCUAAGAACAUCUUUUGAGGAAUGCACCUAUAUGGGUCUGACUACUGAUCAUAGUCUAUGAGAUGUGGGUGAUCUCUAUAAACUCAUGAAAGGUCUGGAGUAUGACUUAUAAGCUCCAAACCGCAGGGAUGCUUUCACAGCUUAGUAUCAGUGAAGGGCUCUGGUCAAACUUGUUUGCACACGACUGUCAAUUCAAGGUAUAGUCCAUUGUACAGUUGUGAAUAAGUGUAGCCUUAGUUCUAGAUGGAAGUUCAACUUAAUAGCCUCCAUCAAAUACUAGUAUAUCAAAGAUUACAGUGGAUCUGAGAGCAUUUCUAGUGUGGCUUGAAAUUAUUGGUGGGGAUUGUUGGAAUAUAUGGGCUUGGCCCAAAUAUUUACUCAAUUAAAAGAAUUAAAAGCCCACUAAUAAUUGCUAGAGAGUUAAGUGCUUAGUUCCACAUGGGAAUUUGAGGAGGAUCUUUACUGACUUCAAUGGUGGACUUGGAGUACACCUAUUGCGAAGUCAAUAAAAGAGAUUGGCGUGCCACACGAGCGCGCUCGCCUUGCCUCGCCUCGCCGGGUCGGGCUGGGCCGUGGGCGUGGGCGUAGGCGGGGCGUGGCGUGCCGAGCCGAGCGACGCGACGAGCCGACCGAGCAAAGCAACGUGAUGUGUUGCGGUGUGGUGAACCUUUUGCUGGUCAUCAGAGUCAUCAAUUGAGUCAAUACAGUAACGGCUAAGGAAUAAACUCAGGAAUAUUUCAACGGUUACUGGUUUGAUAGCCUUGAUUACUGGGCGAAUUGAUUUCGUUUGAUGACUGUGCUGACUACCAGAUCACGUCUAGGUUCAUCCCCCCUCUCUCACCUCUUCUCCCUCUGUCUUUCUGCUGCGCUCUUGUAUUCCCAUCACCAGCACUGCGCGCACACGUUCUGGCAAGAGCAGAGCCUCCAAAACACGUCCAGGUUCAUCCCCCC
Molecule: long non-coding RNA, 9488 nt
Filed under: Setaria viridis
Lineage: Eukaryota; Viridiplantae; Streptophyta; Magnoliopsida; Poales; Poaceae
Description: long non-coding RNA (SVIR_LNC011185)
Source: RNAcentral